This 504-nucleotide ribosomal RNA is filed under the name uncultured bacterium. RNAcentral's name for it is "partial 16S ribosomal RNA". It matches the Rfam family "Bacterial small subunit ribosomal RNA", at positions 30 to 523 of the family's 1533-position model. The record is from RNAcentral.
AUUGAACGCUGGCGGCAGGCCUAACACAUGCAAGUCGAACGGUAGCACAGAGAGCUUGCUCUCGGGUGACGAGUGGCGGACGGGUGAGUAAUGUCUGGGAAACUGCCCGAUGGAGGGGGAUAACUACUGGAAACGGUAGCUAAUACCGCAUAACGUCGCAAGACCAAAGUGGGGGACCUUCGGGCCUCACACCAUCGGAUGUGCCCAGAUGGGAUUAGCUAGUAGGUGGGGUAAUGGCUCACCUAGGCGACGAUCCCUAGCUGGUCUGAGAGGAUGACCGGCAACACAGGAACUGAGACACGGUCCAGACUCCUACGGGAGGCAGCAUUGGGGAAUAUUGUGCAAUGGGCGCAAGCCUGAUGCAGCCAUGCCGCGUGUAUGAAGAAGGCCUUCGGGUUGUAAAGUACUUUCAGCGGGGAGGAAGGCGGUGAAGUUAAUAACUUCACCGAUUGACGUUACCCGCAGAAGAAGCACCGGCUAACUCCGUGCCAGCCGCCGCCGUAA